GUAGUGCUCCGGCUCUGCCGCUGGCAUUUUAUGCGAGAGGAAAGUCCGGGCAGCAUAGAGCACUUCACUUCCGAAAAUAGAAGCUAUUGGUGACAGUAGGUGUCGACAGAAGAAAAUAACCGCCUUUUUUGAAACUUGCAAGUCUUGACUUGUAAUGUCUUUAAGGUAAGGGUGAGAAGGUGGUGUAAGAGACCACCAGAUGGCGGGUGAUCGUCAUGCUGUGUCAUCUGGAGGCUGCAAGUUCAUGUAUACCGCAGGCAAAGAGCUGCUCGCUUGAUUAACUUCGGUUUACUGCGGAGGGUAGAACGCUUGAGCCAUGAGGUGACUCAUGGACUAGAUAAAUGACAGAGCUUCAUAUUUUUGUAUGAAUACGGAACCCGGCUUAUCAGAGCACUACUUUC
RNAcentral lists this RNase P RNA (401 nucleotides) under Prevotella sp. Its description in RNAcentral is "RNase P RNA component class A". It matches the Rfam family "Bacterial RNase P class A". From Rfam's summary of the family: Ribonuclease P (RNase P) is a ubiquitous endoribonuclease, found in archaea, bacteria and eukarya as well as chloroplasts and mitochondria. Its best characterised activity is the generation of mature 5'-ends of tRNAs by cleaving the 5'-leader elements of precursor-tRNAs. Cellular RNase Ps are ribonucleoproteins. Lineage: Bacteria; Pseudomonadati; Bacteroidota; Bacteroidia; Bacteroidales; Prevotellaceae. The record is from RNAcentral.